CUGAGUGGGAAACGAAACAAGACAGAUCCGGGGCUCAACGUUUUAAUGUGUACAUCUACUGGAGGAAAACAUUAGUAAAUGCAACUACCAAAUCUUUAGUAGUUGAAACAUUGGUAAAAUGAACUGUAAUGUGCGUACUUCGCAGUCGUCAUUCCUCUUGAUGAAACAAAGCUAUUCGGAGCUUCUAAUCUUGGAUUAAAAUUGCACAGUUGACUAUUCAAUGUAUAUUAGACUGAGCAUGUGCAACACAAAGAAAUCUCAGGAAACGGGAGAGCAAAUAAUGCGGAUGAGAUGUACUGCGAUCUGGUCCCAUCAACUGCCAACUAAUCAGUUGUUCCUGUCCUAAAGGAUGAAAAUGUGCAACAGUAAAAGGAGCAAACCUUGAUGAGUGAGGGUUUGAAAAAACAUAUGAGAUUGAUUCGGUCGAGGCUGCGAUUAAAUCUGCACGAGCAAUGUUUAGAUGUAGAAUGUAGGAUGUAGGAAAUUACUGUGUAAAAGAUAAUGUAUGAUUGAGGACAGCUUUUUAAAUAAGAAUUAAUUAUCAACAACAUAAUGUCAUUAUCCCUUAUCAUUAUCUCUUACAAAUGAAAAACAACGUUUUCACUGAUGCUGCUCCAAUGGUGGGCCAACAUGCCCACCAUCCUUCAAAAAUAAUGCCUACCAAUAUCCUUUUGUAAGAUAUACCAAUGAUUAGUAGGGUAGAAAAUGACUAACGAAUUGGUAACAUUUACGAAAAAAAUCGUCAUAUAUACUAAAUUUUCCUCUCAGUGUACACGUUGUGAAACAAUAAUAGUAAAUUAUACAAACCGAUACUACAUGAGCAUGACUCGUGUUUUGUUAGACGUUUCGUUCGGUUUAUGACCAGGAAAUGUAUUUAAGUGGAAAUUAUCAUUUAGAGCUCGAGAGUUAUUCUCUA
Molecule: long non-coding RNA, 916 nt
Organism: Toxorhynchites rutilus septentrionalis
Lineage: Eukaryota; Metazoa; Arthropoda; Insecta; Diptera; Culicidae
Exons: 4
Source: RefSeq, a predicted model, not a curated record